RNAcentral lists this ribosomal RNA (554 nucleotides) under uncultured archaeon. RNAcentral describes it as "bacterial SSU rRNA". It matches the Rfam family "Archaeal small subunit ribosomal RNA", at positions 325 to 879 of the family's 1478-position model. The record is from RNAcentral.
UCGGGGUGCCCGAGGCGCGAAAACUUUACAAUGCUGGCAACAGCGAUAAGGGGACCUCGAGUGCCAGGAUAUAAUCUUGGCUGUCGCGAUGCCUAAAAAGCAUUGCAUAGCAAGGGCCGGGCAAGACCGGUGCCAGCCGCCGCGGUAACACCGGCGGCUCGAGUGGUAACCGCUAUUAUUGGGUCUAAAGGGUCUGUAGCCGGCCGGAUAAGUCUUUUGGGAAAUCCAGCUGCUUAACAGUUGGGCUUUCAGAAGAUACUGUUCGGCUCGAGACCGGGAGAGGUGAGAGGUACUUCAGGGGUAGGGGUGAAAUCUUGUAAUCCUUGAAGGACCACCAGUGGCGAAGGCGUCUCACCAGAACGGAUCUGACGGCAAGGGACGAAAGCUAGGGGCACGAACCGGAUUAGAUACCCGGGUAGUCCUAGCCGUAAACGAUACUCGCUAGGUGUCAGCCACGGUGCGACCGUGGUUGGUGCCGUAGGGAAGCCGUGAAGCGAGCCACCUGGGAAGUACGGCCGCAAGGCUGAAACUUAAAGGAAUUGGCGGGGGAGCAC